RNAcentral lists this long non-coding RNA (613 nucleotides) under Brassica rapa (field mustard). RNAcentral's name for it is "long non-coding RNA (BRAP_LNC007895)". Lineage: Eukaryota; Viridiplantae; Streptophyta; Magnoliopsida; Brassicales; Brassicaceae. The record is from RNAcentral.
GCAGGAUGAUGUUGAAUUGUCACAAGAAGUUCUCCUCUUUGGUUUCAUGGUCCCGGUUUUAAGCUUGGUCAUUUCCUUCGUAUUUACUUUGUUGUUGCACAAUGUACACAUCUGAAUUCACCAUUGUUGAAUCAAUUUGACUUCUGUUGAUGGUUCGCUGUGUUUUGAGAUUUUUGAUUUCUUUUUUUUUGUCCGAUGAAAUCACGAGAGCUUCUAAUUAGCAAACUUACUUUAUGCCGUCCAUAUGGCUUUUUAUUCAUCAACCCAUGCAAACUAAUCAAACAAAUUGUACGUUCAUUAAGUUAUCUUACCCACGCAUUUACAAAAUCGGUAUGACCCUUUGUUGAAGGUUUCAAAAUCAUAUGUCUAGACUCUAGAGUAACACGUAGAUACCACGAAUCCACGAUUGUGGAGCGGUAAAUCAAUCGAUCGAAGGUUAAUUUUUGUGUCCUCUGCCCAUCUAAACAUGCCUUUUAUUUCAUUUGCUUUCUUGUGAGGAUUGAAUCAAGGGAAAUGCAGCAGCACAAGAAAAAUCAGUAGAAUUUGACUACUACACAUUGUCUUGAGAGAUAUCGAGGUGGAAGAAACCAUGAACUAACCCGGAGGACAAGAU